ACAGGUGCUCUACUGUAGGUGCCUUCCUUUAAUCAAUUGUGCUAAUAGAAGCGAGAACUAAGCUACUAUCUUUAUCGAAUAUUACCGACCACUCUACGUAUACUCGAUUAACAUUGUUUAUAUCUAUUUUAUAGUAACCUUGCGAAGACUGUCUUUCGUCACGAAUACCGUGUGCAGUUCUAUUUUCAGUAUAGGUACCUACUCCUAUUUAUCGCUUCCCCACUGUACACAUGUUAAAACUAUGUAAUCGUUAAAUAAUAAACUGACCUACGUGAAACGA
Long non-coding RNA from Cydia fagiglandana, 280 nucleotides. RefSeq lists it as uncharacterized. The transcript has 2 exons. NCBI's taxonomy places the organism in Eukaryota, Metazoa, Arthropoda, Insecta, Lepidoptera, Tortricidae. The record is from RefSeq and is a predicted model, not a curated record.